CCUACGGGUGGCAGCAGUGGGGAAUAUUGGUCAAUGGGCGCAAGCCUGACCCAGCAACGCCGCGUGAAGGAAGAAGGCUUUCGGGUUGUAAACUUCUUUUGACAGGGAAGAGUAGAAGACGGUACCUGUCGAAUAAGCCACGGCUAACUACGUGCCAUCAGCCGAGGUAAUACGUAGGUGGCAGGCGUUGUGCGGAUUUACUGGGUGUAAAGGGAGUGUAGCCGGUCUGACAAGUCAGAUGUGAAAGCCUGCGGCUUAACCGUAGAACUGCAGUUGAAACUGUUGAUCUUGAGUACUGGAGAGGCAGACGGAAUGCCUAGUGUAGCGGUGAAAUGCGUAGAUAUUAGGAAGAACACCAGUGGCGAAGGCGGUCUGCUGGACAGCAACUGACGGUGAGGCACGAAAGCGUGGGGAGCGAACAGGAUUAGAUACCCGAGUAGUC
This 442-nucleotide ribosomal RNA is filed under the name uncultured bacterium. Its description in RNAcentral is "partial 16S ribosomal RNA". It matches the Rfam family "Bacterial small subunit ribosomal RNA", at positions 338 to 795 of the family's 1533-position model. The record is from RNAcentral.